AGCUCCAAUAGCGUAUAUUAAAGUUGUUGCAGUUAAAAAGCUCGUAGUUGGAUUUCUGGCAGGAGCGGCCGGUCGUGCACUCUGUGCAUGAACUUGUGCUGUCUCUGGCCAUCCUCGGGGAGAUCCUAUUUGGCAUUAAGUUGUCGAGUAGGGGAUACCUGUCGUUUACUGUGAAAAAAUUAGAGUGUUUAAAGCAGGCUUAUGCCGUUGAAUAUAUUAGCAUGGAAUAAUAAGAUAGGACUUCGGAACUAUUUUGUUGGUUUGCGUUACGAAGUAAUGAUUAAUAGGGACAGUUGGGGGUAUUCGUAUUUCGUUGUCAGAGGUGAAAUUCUUGGAUUUCCGAAAGACGAACUACUGCGAAAGCAUUUACCAAGGAUGUUU
RNAcentral lists this ribosomal RNA (381 nucleotides) under uncultured eukaryote. RNAcentral describes it as "SSU rRNA". It matches the Rfam family "Eukaryotic small subunit ribosomal RNA", at positions 587 to 969 of the family's 1831-position model. The record is from RNAcentral.